RNAcentral lists this transfer RNA (71 nucleotides) under Certhia familiaris (Eurasian tree-creeper). RNAcentral describes it as "tRNA-Leu". It matches the Rfam family "tRNA". From Rfam's summary of the family: Transfer RNA (tRNA) molecules are approximately 80 nucleotides in length. Their secondary structure includes four short double-helical elements and three loops (D, anti-codon, and T loops). Further hydrogen bonds mediate the characteristic L-shaped molecular structure. tRNAs have two regions of fundamental functional importance: the anti-codon, which is responsible for specific mRNA codon recognition, and the 3' end, to which the tRNAs corresponding amino acid is attached (by aminoacyl-tRNA synthetases). tRNAs cope with the degeneracy of the genetic code in two manners: having more than one tRNA (with a specific anti-codon) for a particular amino acid; and 'wobble' base-pairing, i.e. permitting non-standard base-pairing at the 3rd anti-codon position. Lineage: Eukaryota; Metazoa; Chordata; Aves; Passeriformes; Certhiidae. The record is from RNAcentral.
GCUUUCAAAGGAUAAUAGUAAUCCAAUGGUCUUAGGAGCCACACAUCUUGGUGCAACUCCAAGUGAAAGUA